AGCAUCCGCGGUAAUUCCAGCUCCAAUAGCGUAUAUUAAAGUUGUUGCAGUUAAAAAGCUCGUAGUUGAAUUUCGGGGUCAGUAGGUCGGUCGUGCCACUGGUAUGAACUGGUUUUACUGAUUCCUCCCUCUUGAAGAACUGUAAUGCCAUUAAUUUGGUGUUGCAGGGAAUCAGGACUGUUACUUUGAAAAAAUUAGAGUGUUUAAAGCAGGCUUUAGCUUGAAUACAUUAGCAUGGAAUAAUGAAAUAGGACGUUUGAUCCUAUUUUGUUGGUUUCUAGGAUUGACGUAAUGAUUAAUAGGGAUAGUUGGGGGCAUUAGUAUUCAAUUGUCAGAGGUGAAAUUCUUGGAUUUAUUGAAGACUAACUACUGCGAAAGCAUUUGCCAAGGAUGUUUUCAUUAAUCAAGAACGAAAGUUAGGGGAUCGAAGACGAUCAGAUACCGUCGUAGUCCUUAACCAUAAACUAUGCCGACUAGGGAUCGGAUGAUGUUAAUUUUUUAAUGACUCA
This 509-nucleotide ribosomal RNA is filed under the name Glomus sp. Glo3c. RNAcentral describes it as "SSU rRNA". It matches the Rfam family "Eukaryotic small subunit ribosomal RNA", at positions 569 to 1078 of the family's 1831-position model. The record is from RNAcentral. Lineage: Eukaryota; Fungi; Glomeromycota; Glomeromycetes; Glomerales; Glomeraceae.